Molecule: unclassified non-coding RNA, 698 nt
Filed under: Hevea brasiliensis (rubber tree)
Lineage: Eukaryota; Viridiplantae; Streptophyta; Magnoliopsida; Malpighiales; Euphorbiaceae
Source: RNAcentral
CUUCCCUUUUGCAUGAAUUCAUAAACUAGGAGAAGCUCCUUAUCUUCCCAACAGUAUCCUAUCAGCCUUACAAGGUUAGGAUGAUAAAGCCUUCCCAAGAAUUGUACCUCUGACUGCCAUUCUUCAAGUCCUUGCAAGCUCUCAGAAUUCAACUUUUUUACUGCAAUUAUAUUUCCGCUUCCACUUUUCCCUGUUGCCUUCUCAUCAAGCCAGCCUUUGAAGACUUUACCAAAUCCUCCCUCUCCAAGAACUGUGUCAGGUCUAAAAUUCUUGGUGGCAGCCCUCAAUUCUGCAAAAGAGAAUAUCCUCAAGUUGGGGGUGGGCAAGAUCUGCCCAUUUGGAAAAGCGACAUCACUGCUUCUCCCAGAAAAUUUGCUAUUCCCGGAGACGUUGCUACCCUGAGAAGACGCUGUAUUGGUACUCCGAGAGGAAGUUGUAUUGGUAGUUGUCUGAGAUAUCCCCGCUGAGCGGAGAUGAUCAGUGGUGGCAGGUGUAGGACUAGUAGUAGCUGGAGAACUCCAGCAAAUCCCCAUCAGAAAAAAACCAAUUGGAUUGUAUACAGACAAAAGAAAGAAAAGCUUAUUGAUGUUGGUGCUNGGUGCUGCAUCCAGCAUUCAAGAAUUCAAAGAAAGAAAGAAGGAAAACAGUGAAAAAAAGCUUCCUAUGAUGGUAUUGAUUACAGAGAAUUUUCAACUGGG